UCUGUCUCAUUUCCAGGUCAGUUCAAUGAAUGAUCCUAUUUAGUUCUUUUUCCUGUUUAAAAUAUUUCCUACUGAGUCCAGAGCAGUGCCCUUAAAACAUAAUUGAUUUGGGUCAUUGAACCUUUAUUUUUCAUGCAUGUUAGUUUGCAUCCCGCCACUGGUCUGACUGGUAUUUCAAUUAGAAAAAUGCAGGCGGAUUUCUCCUAGAGGCUGAAGUUCACGUGGAGUCUCUGGCGAAAUAAGAUCCUGGAGUAUGUAUCCCUGGAACUGGGCAAUGAUUUGUUACUUUUUUUUUAAUUCUCUGUCUGGCCAGAAUGUUAUAAAUCUGGCGCUCUCUUGUUAGCUUCACGCUAAGCAGCAAUAAUGUCCACAGUGUUUUAGUCUUGAUAAUUCUAAUUACUGAAACACUGAAGAAGCUGAAAGCUGGGAAGAUGGACGAGGCUGGCCUCAAGUCCUGCACAGCACAUGGGACUCUCUCUUUGUAGAGCUGAACUAGAAUUCUCUCAUUUGCCAAGCCAGUACUGGAAGCAGCAGCCAAGGUAUAUUAUUCCUGUGGUGCAGUGGUGGAAUCAAUGGAAAGAGGCCUGAUUUUAUCACCAGGUUUCCCAAACAACUACUACCCAGGAACACACUGUGUUUGGCAAUUUUUCAUUCCCAUGAGAACCCAUCUUAUCUUGGAAAUUUUUGACUUUGACAUUUUUGAGAGCUCUAGUGAAACUCCAACCCCCUGGGAUGGCUUUUCAGCCCCCACUAAAGCAGGAAAUAAGGACAUGUCUUCUCUUGAGGAAAACCUGGACUUUGCUCUCCGUACUACAAAGCCCUCUCUCCAGACCUGGGUGUCAAAGGUGGCUCAGAAUCUAAGCAGCACAGGAGAUCAGUCAAAGGACCUUGCUAGUCACCUGGAUGAACUUCAAGGAGCUGCCUCAAAAAAAGAUGAAGCCAAACAAGCAUCUGAAGAAAACCAGUCAAAGCAGAUGAAAGAACCCAAAGCAAUUAUCAAGGCUCAACCAGAAGAGCUGCCAUUCCCUGUGGCUGGUAGUGCCACAAUGAGGAGGCAAAAUACCAGUGGCCUGAAAACAGAGGAAGAUUCGAAAGGGAAAAUCUUGCUUGCCCAUCUAGCUGCUAGUGAGAAAGAUGAAGUUACGGUAGAGAGCUGGACUCUUCCCACAACAGUAUUGCCUGUGGAGAUCUCCUCCAGCCCACAGUCAGCAGUGGAUGUCUGUCCCCAUGACGUAUUAUAUGUUUCUGAUCUCAUCACGUUUUCCUCUCGCUUCUGUGGACCAAAUUCACCUUUAAACAAGACCAUGGUCUUCGGUUCAUCUCUGGAAAUGGUUGAGGUUAUCAUGGAACUGAUCACCACCACAGACCGGGGCCGAGGCUUUGCAAUGCUCUUCGAAUACAAGAACACCACUGACCCUAACACUGUGGAUGCUGUGAGGCAGGAGAGGAAGGAAAAUAUGAUGAUACUGGCAAUCAUAACAGGGAUUGUCUUCUUUGCACUUGCUCUGCUCUCUGCCCUCUGCAUAGCUUGCAGGCAGAGAACGUGCCCCAAAAGGAGCUCAUCCAACGCAUGCAGUGACCAGGAGGUUAGUGCUAAUGGCUUCAGCAAUUUCUGUUUCUCUCUUUCAUAUUGGCUGUUGCACUGUUUAUCUGACGAUGUUUACUGGGGCAUGUUCUGA
RNAcentral lists this long non-coding RNA (1679 nucleotides) under Calidris pugnax (ruff). RNAcentral's name for it is "lncRNA (ENSCPUG00000009179.1)". Lineage: Eukaryota; Metazoa; Chordata; Aves; Charadriiformes; Scolopacidae. The record is from RNAcentral.